This is a long non-coding RNA of Hippoglossus stenolepis (Pacific halibut), 652 nucleotides long. RefSeq lists it as uncharacterized. NCBI's taxonomy places the organism in Eukaryota, Metazoa, Chordata, Actinopteri, Pleuronectiformes, Pleuronectidae. The transcript is spliced from 3 exons. The record is from RefSeq and is a predicted model, not a curated record.
GCCUGGUUGAUGGUGGCUGCUGUGUUCGUGCAGUUUUGUGGCUAUGCCUCGACCCAGAUUUCUGUGGCCCAAUGUUUGAGAGAAGAUUCAGGGUUCACCUCCCCGAUGUUUGAGCCACAGUACAGAGUCAGCCAUUGUCGCUGUGAAGUAGGGCCCCAUAUUGAGCAAGAUUAAGUGCCAGACCGCUGCUGUGCCUACACCAGUGAUAACUGGCCACUAGUAUGAGUUGUUUUUUACUGUUGGUCCGACGUCUCAUGCAUCACGUUCCUGAUGGACUGUUCGACCUUUAAUAAUUGUGUUGAUUGCUUAUUUUUUUUAAAUAUUUUAUUGUGACCCUGAACUAACCUGAUGGGUGGUGGUCACUUGAACAGUGUUUGUUCUUGCAGUGUAAGUUGCAGUGGUAGUGAUCAGUGUGCUCAUGUGGUGGUGUCUAUUGGGGUUUGCGAUAUAUUCUCCCUGUGGUAAAUACACUGCCUACAUAAUCUCCUAUUUAUGUUAAAUAGUGUUGUUUCUGUUGUCUCAGUAUUUCAGUUAUUUUAGCUUGUAUGAACAUUAUGAAAUGUUAUUCGUUUUUACUUAUAACCAUCUGUCUUUUUUCCUCUGGUCCUUAUUACAGUCCUCCUAUUAAAUAAAGAUUUAAUUUUGAACUGAA